UGAGAUAAACACAACGACAAAUAUCAAUCAAUGUGGGCCUGGGACCAUCAAAGUUUUUCCGAGUACGAUCAUAUCAUUGCAGUGCUCAUAAACUCCAUUGGAAGUGUACAAGAUUUAAGGGUCCUUAUCCAUCUUCCCUCAAUUGUACGCAAUCAGGAAAAUUUAAUCCAUCUGGGAGAUAUGACACGGAUGCACUUAGGGGUAUAAGGGGAUUAAUCCACUUACCUAAAUAUAGGCUAAUUAAAUAGACACAUCAGUCGAUACACUUGAGCAUCUAAAUAUAACCAUUAUCCAUACCAUGAUAAGAUUAUUUUUUUAUAAGAACACGGUACAACGCAGACGCUCAUAACGCACGCACACUCUCCCCUAAGAACGCACGCGCGCAAAUCCCCUAUGGGCCAGCAAAUCUAGAGAAACCCUGAAGUCGCCACGAGCGUCUCGUUGUCGACGGGCACAUCGUCUUCCACUGAAAGCACAAAGCCGUUAGAAUCUUAAAAAAUUCACUUCAACAAGUAGUCGAACUUAGGACCUCAUGUGCUACUAAGGCUUUAUGUAACCAGUAGGCUACAGGCCCGUUCGCAA
This 582-nucleotide long non-coding RNA is filed under the name Oryza brachyantha (malo sina). RNAcentral describes it as "long non-coding RNA (OBRA_LNC002117)". The record is from RNAcentral. Lineage: Eukaryota; Viridiplantae; Streptophyta; Magnoliopsida; Poales; Poaceae.